GCUACAGUGCCCUACAGUCCGCCCCAGUUUCCUCCAUCGCAUCCACUCCGCCGAACUCACCAUUCCUUUGCGAGCUCGCUCUAUCCGUCGCCGGUCUCAUCUCCGACGCGUACACACGCUCGAUCGCCGGCACCUGGUCGUGGAUCAAGUCACCGUUAACCCCAAUCCCUUAACAGAGGUCGCGACGACAUAGAUCUUCGAAGGGUAGCUUCGUGCAAGGGAUUCUCGGCCGAGAGAGGGGAAAUUGAACUCCGACGAUGCGGGAGUGAGAUCUCUUGUUCCAGAGCUCCAUAGUGGCGAGGGUUUAUGCUCUAGGUAGCUGACUCAUUUUCCCGAGCUUAGGGCCAGGCUGAUCUUGUCGGAUUCUCUUCGUCGACGGUAGAGGCUUCGGGCAUCAAGGUAUUAAGUGGCUUGCUGUGAAGGGCUAGAUCACAAUUCUAGUGGCUGUUCUUCAUUUGGGAACCAUUAGCUCUGUGAGAGCUCGGAUCUGUGAAUCAGCAACAUUGGGUAGGAUAAGAGUGCUAGUGCCAGCGAGUCCAUCUUCCAGCAGUGAUUCUUCAUCCGGGAAGCAGAGGUGUAGAAGUGUAGGAUUGCAGGUCUGAUAGAAAAUUCUGUAUUGGGUGAGGAGGUCAGAUCUGAAAUUGUUAGUGAUUAAGGUAGCUGAUAGCGAUGCUAGUACACUUGGAGGAGGAUCCCGACUGCUGGUCCCACGUCACUUCCGAGGACGGUUUUAUGAUUUUGGUUUUCAUUUUAUUGUGAGUUAAACCUUUGAAUUUAGCAUUGUAAUAAUUAGGCUGUGGACUUGUUAUUUUGUAUUUGAUUGUUUUGUCGAGGAGUCAAGCCGGGCCGACCCGGGUGAGUUUUCAUUA
This is a long non-coding RNA of Zingiber officinale, 869 nucleotides long. RefSeq lists it as uncharacterized. Lineage: Eukaryota; Viridiplantae; Streptophyta; Magnoliopsida; Zingiberales; Zingiberaceae. The record is from RefSeq and is a predicted model, not a curated record. The transcript is spliced from 5 exons.